Long non-coding RNA from Glossina fuscipes, 2778 nucleotides. RefSeq lists it as uncharacterized. The transcript is spliced from 3 exons. NCBI's taxonomy places the organism in Eukaryota, Metazoa, Arthropoda, Insecta, Diptera, Glossinidae. The record is from RefSeq and is a predicted model, not a curated record.
AAUAAUGAACCCUUGCUUUAUCUGCUUCCGGUUUAUUCUCUGUUCCUUAUCACAUCUGUGCCAGCGCCGUCGCUUUGCCUGUAUAAAUAUAGAAAAAUUAAGCUGAAAUUUGAACUUGCAUAUUACAAAAUGGAACAAAUUAAUUCAAUAUUAUUCCAAGAUAUUAUAGAUUAGAAGUAUCGCGUAACAGAGCAGCGAACACUUAUUGUAUAGAUAUUAAUUAACUUUACUCAUGAGAGGAAUGCAAUAGGUCAUAGAUUUGAUAUAGAUCACUAAGUUCCGCUUAGAAAUAAAAUAUAUAGUAAAAAUAUACUUACAAGAGAUAGCAAUAAUAUAGUAUAUUAAAAAUCAAAUAAAAGAACAAGUAGUUCAUAAAAAUAAACUUAAGCUAUAUAAUAAUACAACCGAACGAAGGUUAAGUGGUAUACUACGCAUCUAAUUUCAACUUAGUUUGAAAAAGAAGGGAUGCCGCUAUGAAUUAAUUGAUAGAAAUGUAGCAUGAAACUAAUUUUACACAAUCAACAUAUAUCGAAUACCUAAUCAAAACCUUAAAAACACUGUGGAGUUAUGCUUGUUCACCAUAAAGGGGCUACGGCUAACAAUUGCUGUUGUUGUGCUUACAACAUUUCAUUAUAUGUAUAUAUGCAACACUGCAUCAAUACGGUCUUGCCCCAUGCUACUAAUUAUGUAUCUUUUAGUUAACUAGCUCUCACAUCACGGCGUAACUUCAAGGCCACUUAGUAUGACAUUAAAAAAAUAAAAGAAAAUUAAAUCACAAAUUUUAUAAACAAACAACAACUCCACACAAACGUAAAUAGAAGCAAAAUUUUAUAAAAUUUUUAAUAAAAUGGUACGAAGGGAAAUAAUACGCAUUUUCAACAAAAAAAAGGAAGAUCAAUUAGAAAAGAACAAGUAUAGAUAAUGCUGUUUUUCAUCAUACGCUACUCUGAGAGGACCGAAAAUUUGUACUAAAGCACUGGUCACGGAUGCCAAUACUUGCACAGCCAACAGCAGACCUAAAUUCAUGGGCUUUGACGAACAAAGGUGUAGCCGGAUGGCGAAACUUGGACAGACCACAAAUACAAGUCAAUACGGCUAUUGAGGGUCAACAGGUUAUGGAUGGUCGAGCUGGCAAAUUUAGAGGCGGCAAUCAGUGGUGACAAAAACUUACGUAUGUAUGGCACACCAACUAAAGCACUGCAAUGCACUGCUGCCCACAAGUGGAGCACAGCAGGGAGCACAAUUGUAAUAUAUAAUUUUUAGUUUAUUUAGUAAUUGUGUUUUAUAUAUGUUUGGUAGCCUUCAUGUGAUAGACCUCGAGCUCAAGAAUGACAUGUCAAUUACGAACCGAAGGUAAGCGCAUAUUGUUAAUUUUCAUUUUUACUAUUAAUAGUUGCGUAAUUAUUAAUAAAAAUAAUCAUUCUAUGUCAGGUAUUCAUCCUUUGACGAAAAUACAAAGAGGUCUAAAAUUUAUAAAGAAUAUAAACAGCUUCUAGCUGGUGUGUCUGUUGAUUAAAAAAAAUAUCAUCAACCUGUAAAUUGAGGAAUUUUUGUCUUUUUGAAUUUAAGGAUAGGAUGCGUUUAAGAUUCCCUAUGAAUCCUUCACAAAGCGUAAGUAAGUGUUGUUGGAGUUUAGCCCUAAACUGCUCGGCUUCAAUGCGCCAAGUCUAUCUGCUUCUUUAUAAAUGCCAGACGAGACAUGAAGCAAUUCCUAGGCGGAUGGAACGCCUGUGUGCCUUUAACGAACUGAUACGCUUUUGAAUUGGUUUGAUACAAUUGAUUUAUUCAGAUUUUAUAUAUAUGUAAUAUAUAAUUUCUAAAGAAAUGCAUGCCUCUACUAAUUCUAUGUUACAAGUGUGUUUACACAUAUAAAUGCAGCAUAUUAUUGGUGUAUACACACUUUGGUGAUCAUUUUUAAUUGUUUACUUACACCCAAAUAAAAUAGAUUAACAGUCGAAUCCAAUUGACUCUUAGAAGUAAAUCUUAUACUAAAUAAUAUUAAAAACUAGGAAAGAAAAAAAAGUUAUAAUAAAAUAAACAAGAAAGAAAAAAGCAUGUACACAAGUAGUACAGAGGCACACCCGCAACUAGUACAUAAUUAAAUUGCAAGUGUACCCCUAAGCCAUCGCAUACACGCAAAAGUUUGGCAACCGAUACAGCAAACAAAACCAAUUAAAUUUCGAAUCAUCAUGAGAUGUUAAGAUUAAAAGUCAUUUUAAAUACGACAAAGGCAAAUCGCGUGUAUUAAGCAAAGUUGUUUUAAUAGAUUUUAAAGAAUCCGAUAUUCAGAUUAAGUGAUAGACAUAAUUUAAGUUUCAGCAAACAACACUAAACGGGUUAAAUAGCUCAGAAUUAUGUUUACAUUGACUCAGCUUAAAGCAGUUUAUGUAAAUUAUAUACUACUUUAUAUCAUGGUUAAAAGCGAAACUUUUCUUUUUUCGGUUUUGAGUCGUUGCAAAAAGCGUAGCCUUUUAUUUUCACUCCCGGACUAAUGUCAAGUUCAUGGCAACGAUACGUAUCUUUUAUUAACUCUCGUUCGCUUUGACACAGAAAGAAAGAAAAUCGCUUUUCUUGACAUUAUGUAUCACUAAUGUCGGAACUUUCUUGCCUGUUAUUUAUUUUGAAAAAUAAAAGAGAAAUGACGGCAAGGAUUAUGUUGUAACUCCUGAACAGAUCGGGACCAUGUCAUAUCAUUCUAAUCCUAAAGACAAAAAAAUUACAUGCACAUAAAUUAACAUUUAAUCCAUCCAAACCAAAGGGAAAGGAAAAUUUAUAUAG